Myotis myotis is the source of this 2922-nucleotide long non-coding RNA. RefSeq lists it as uncharacterized. The transcript is spliced from 7 exons. NCBI's taxonomy places the organism in Eukaryota, Metazoa, Chordata, Mammalia, Chiroptera, Vespertilionidae. The record is from RefSeq and is a predicted model, not a curated record.
UCAAACCCAGGACCCUUUGGUCUGCAGGCCGAUGCUCUAUCUACUGAGCCAAACCGGUUAGGGCUGGAGCUCAUCUCUUCUUCAAAGCCUCGUCAGGCUGACCCCAACCCGGCCCCACUUGUAAAUGCCCCUCCCUCACCUCCUGCCCAGAUUUAGGGGGGCAGGAGAGCACCUGCCUCCAAGACUACAGACCAGAUGUGAAGUCGUCAUUCUGCACUCCUCUGAGGACCUGGGGAGCGAGGCGAGGGAGAGAGAAGAAAAGCAAGGCUUUUUGUCCCCACUCCCCCCGGGUUGCCAGUUGGAAUGGACAAGCCCAAUUCUCAAUCUGUUUGGGGUGAUGGACCCCCCAGCAUCACCCUGGGAAUUUGAAGAUAAAGAAGCCUGUCUGAGUGCUGUCUCUGAAUUCAUGGGGGGACCUCCCAGAUACCCCCACUUCCAGGAUAUGAUAACAACACCUCUGCCGGCCCAGCCCAUGCCGGGGAAUGUGUGUUUGGAGAGAGGCAAGGAAAGCGAGGGAAAGGUUGAGUGCCUUUUUCCCCUCCCUCCCGUUAGCGUGGGUGACACCGGUGAGAAGCGAGCAGCUGACCCGGGUUUGAAUUUAGAGUGUUCAUUAAUACGAUAUUAUGCCAUAUGCUCCCGCACACUGUCUCCCUCUAAUGCAGCCGCCAAUUUGCUGAGCAGCCCUAAUUAGUAAUGGUAUAAUGAGAGUAUUCAGAGGGUAAUGUGGUGGGUGGGGAUGAGAGCGAGGGGACUGCUCCUGGCCAGUGGGGGAGGGACAGGGGCUGGCUACAGAGAUUUGGGGCUGGGGGCACGGGAUUCACGGCCAGGGGUCAUCUGGAUCCAGGGCAACUUGAGGCCCAGGGAGCAGGUGCCUUCCUUCCCUCUGCCACCCCAAUUCCUUAGCAGAGGCUCAAGGCUGUGGAGUGGGCUGGGCAGCAAGGGGCAGACAGGUGCAGGGAGAGGAGCGAGAACCUGGGUCAAAGAGGAAGGAACGAGCGGUCCUUUGUUUUCCACCCGGAGGUGGACGCUAGAGGAACGGCAGUGGUGGUGCUUUGAGUGUGGUGUGUGUAUGUGUGUGUGUGUGUGUGGGGGGGUGCAAACACUAAAUCUUUUGAGUCUUUAUUAUGUGCCAGGCACUCUGCUGGCCCCUCGGAAUCACCCUGCCAGGAGGUGAGACCAACACCAUUUUUCAGACAGGGAAACUGAGGCUCAGAGAGGGUCAGAGGUCACUCAACUGGCAAAGGAAUAGAGGACUGGCAGCCAGGACCGCCCGACUGCAGAGCUAGAGAAGCUCAGCUGGACCAUCCCCGUGAGGAUGCUGUUGGACCAUCUUUGUGAGGAGGAUGCUGUGGCCAUGGUGACGGGGGAGCAGAGAGCAUGAUGGAGAGUGGGAGCCGCUGGAGCUCCUGGAAUCGGGCAGUGGCAUCAGAAAGCUGUGCUGAGGGGGACGUGGAGGCAGGGAGACCCAUGAGCAGACCAUCGCCACGGUCCAGAGCGGCCAAUCCUCAGCCUCUAGGAACAAGGACAAGCAGCGUGCCCAUGUUCCAGUGUGGGAUCGGUUCCCAAACCUGAGAGGGACAUAAAUUUUCCCCAGCAGCACCCCGGAAACGGAGAGUAGGAAAAGGGGCAACAUACUGAUGUGUAUGCAUGCCAGACCCACUCCUCACCAAGGCUCUGGGAUGAACAGAUUCGAGCCCAAAUCCAGGCCAGACCACCAACAUGCAGUGUGACCUCGGCCCCCGGCCCCCGCUGAUAAAAUUGAAGUGGAAAUGAAGUUGAAUGCUCAGAAGGAUCCGUCAGAUGACGGGGUGGGGGUGGUGCUUGCCAGGCAGCUGCUCCCUCAGCAGCCGCCCUUGGCACUGCCCUUGGCCAGGCCGGAGGGUGAGGCUGCAGGGAGGGAGGGCGCCCCCCCCCCCACACACACACAAAGGCCCUCCCCAGAGGUUACGGACCACCGUCCUGGUUAUCAUUUACCCACCUCGGUAGUGGAGCAGAAAUUGGCUGCACGUUUAUUGAGUACUUAUCCGUUCCAAGCUCAAAGCCAAGUGCUUAAGAUGAGUUAUUCUCCUAUUUAAAGCCUCCCCACCCCGGCUCCGCCCCCUGAGGUGCAUCUCGUGGUUGCCCCCAUUUUCACGGAUGCAAACACAGAGGCACCCAGAGUUGCAGCUGGCCCAGGGACAGCUAACAGAGAGUGGCCAGAUUCACACCCAGGCAUCUACACACUGCAAACUGCAGCUGGAACUGACAGCGCUAUAGUGGCCCUCCACCGGGAAACCCCAAGGACAGAAGCGGGGCGCUGGCAGCUGUGCACACCUGUGAUGAGGCAGCCUUCCAGCCACGAUCUCCCUUGGACUCAGCAUCUUGAUAGGAUCACCCCACCCGUGAACUGGGGCAGAGGCCAGUCUCUCAGACUUCAGAUCUGUUUAGGAUGAAGUCUCUGCUGCACCAGCUUUAGGGGAGGGGGGUGUCUGGAGGGAUCGUUGGCGCUUGUAACACGAUUUGGUUAUUAUUAACCUGUAUUCAUUUCUGCUUUAUUUAUUUGUAAACUGGCCCCUACCUACCUCACCCCUACCACAGCCUGCCUGCUCCCGGCCACACCACCAGCGCUCAGUGCCUGCAAGGCCUCCAGCUCAUUUCUCUCCCCUCAGCUUGGAAUGCUCUUCUUCUGGGCAACUUUUUCAUUUUUCAAGGCUCAUGAUCUUUUUUUUUUAAUGAUCUUUUAAAUAAUCAUUUUAAUGGUGUUGAUAUACCAGCAUUUCUACACUGUAUUUUUUUCUCUCUCAAUUGGACCAGAAUGGCAGCUGGUACUCAUUUUCUCUUUUCACAGCAGCUCCUCCUUUAGAGGACAUUUGAUAAUAUUCCUUUUUGCUGAGUGGGAUGGCCUUGCUGAGCCAUUUUUAAAAAAUAUUUUUUAAUUGAUUU